GAUGAACGCUGGCGGCGUGCCUAAUACAUGCAAGUCGAGCGAACAGACGAGGAGCUUGCUCCUCUGACGUUAGCGGCGGACGGGUGAGUAACACGUGGAUAACCUACCUAUAAGACUGGGAUAACUUCGGGAAACCGGAGCUAAUACCGGAUAAUAUAUUGAACCGCAUGGUUCAAUAGUGAAAGACGGUUUUGCUGUCACUUAUAGAUGGAUCCGCGCCGCAUUAGCUAGUUGGUAAGGUAACGGCUUACCAAGGCAACGAUGCGUAGCCGACCUGAGAGGGUGGUCGGCCACACUGGAACUGAGACACGGUCCAGACUCCUACGGGAGGCAGCAGUAGGGAAUCUUCCGCAAUGGGCGAAAGCCUGACGGAGCAACGCCGCGUGAGUGAUGAAGGUCUUCGGAUCGUAAAACUCUGUUAUUGGGGAAGAACAAAUGUGUAAGUAACUAUGCACGUCUUGACGGUACCUAAUCAGAAAGCCACGGCUAACUACGUG
Molecule: ribosomal RNA, 497 nt
Filed under: uncultured bacterium
Lineage: Bacteria
Description: partial 16S ribosomal RNA
Rfam family: Bacterial small subunit ribosomal RNA
Source: RNAcentral